AACGAACGCUGGCGGCAUGCCUAACACAUGCAAGUCGAACGAGACCUUCGGGUCUAGUGGCGCACGGGUGCGUAACGCGUGGGAACCUGCCCUUAGGUUCGGAAUAACUCCCCGAAAGGGGUGCUAAUACCGGAUAAUGUCUUCGGACCAAAGAUUUAUCGCCUUUGGAUGGGCCCGCGUUGGAUUAGCUAGUUGGUAGGGUAAAAGCCUACCAAGGCGACGAUCCAUAGCUGGUCUGAGAGGAUGAUCAGCCACACUGGGACUGAGACACGGCCCAGACUCCUACGGGAGGCAGCAGUGGAAUAUUGGACAAUGGGCGAAAGCCUGAUCCAGCAAUGCCGCGUGAGUGAUGAAGGCCUUAGGGUUGUAAAGCUCUUUUACCCGGGAUGAUAAUGACAGUACCGGGAGAAUAAGCUCCGGCUAACUCCGUG
RNAcentral lists this ribosomal RNA (431 nucleotides) under uncultured bacterium. Its description in RNAcentral is "partial 16S ribosomal RNA". It matches the Rfam family "Bacterial small subunit ribosomal RNA", at positions 29 to 507 of the family's 1533-position model. The record is from RNAcentral.